Metopolophium dirhodum (rose-grain aphid) is the source of this 616-nucleotide long non-coding RNA. RefSeq lists it as uncharacterized. The record is from RefSeq and is a predicted model, not a curated record. The transcript is spliced from 3 exons. NCBI's taxonomy places the organism in Eukaryota, Metazoa, Arthropoda, Insecta, Hemiptera, Aphididae.
AGAAAAGGUCCAGUCGGCCACUUAUGCACUAAGUAUAUUGGAAGAAAACAAUCAUUAAUAAAACGUUAUGAAGAACUGGAGAAUUUAUAUGAACAUGUGAAACAAGAAUUAUAAAUCACUCAAGAGGCUUUGACAAAAUUUCAAACUUCUCAUAAAGUAACCGCCAAAUCUGGUAUAGAACAAGAGCAGCAUGAAACAGCAGCUUAAGAAUCAUCACUAAAUAUCACAAGCGUAGAGCUUGAAAAUGAUACUAAAUCGGUGAGUGUAGAAAAGAAUAAUUUGAAAUCUAAAUACGAUAACGAGAAAAUGGUUGUUACUGAAACCAUGACCAAAUUACGUAAUCAGCGGCUUACACUCAAAGAAGAUGCUGCUACAUCUUCAAGUUUGAGAGCUAUGUUUGCUGCAUAGCAUGAAGAACAAGUGACUCUCAUGGAUAAUUUACAGCGACAGUAAGUUGCUGCUGGAGAAGAGAAAAAGACACUUAGUCAGCUGUUGCGUUUGUCUGAAGAACAAAAAUUGAUGGUCACCCAUCGGUUAGAGGAAAUUUAAAUGGACCGAGAAAUAAAAAAUCUCUUUAAAAACUCUUCAAGACAAUAAAAAACCUCAAAAAGGUAUA